Molecule: transfer RNA, 75 nt
Filed under: Mycobacterium phage prophiGD43A-4
Lineage: Duplodnaviria; Heunggongvirae; Uroviricota; Caudoviricetes
Description: tRNA-Leu
Rfam family: tRNA
About the family: Transfer RNA (tRNA) molecules are approximately 80 nucleotides in length. Their secondary structure includes four short double-helical elements and three loops (D, anti-codon, and T loops). Further hydrogen bonds mediate the characteristic L-shaped molecular structure. tRNAs have two regions of fundamental functional importance: the anti-codon, which is responsible for specific mRNA codon recognition, and the 3' end, to which the tRNAs corresponding amino acid is attached (by aminoacyl-tRNA synthetases). tRNAs cope with the degeneracy of the genetic code in two manners: having more than one tRNA (with a specific anti-codon) for a particular amino acid; and 'wobble' base-pairing, i.e. permitting non-standard base-pairing at the 3rd anti-codon position.
Source: RNAcentral
GGCUCUCUAGCCCAAUCGGUAGAGGCACCAGAUUUAGGUUCUGGUCAGUGAAGGUUCGAGUCCUUCGAGAGCUAC